CCCCUUUUCAUCGGCUGACCGGCACCCUAUAUUAGGCAUGCUGCGAAAGCAGCUAUGACAAUAAACGAGCGCUGCAAUAAACCAUUCGGACCCGGGGGCGGUACCCGGCGCCUCCACCAUGAUCCGGCCUGUUGCCGGCAAGCGGCCCUAGCGGCCGGAUGAUGAUGGGGGCGAAACAGGAUCGACGAGGGUGUAAAGAGCGACUUUUUGUUCGGCAUUGUACCACCGUUAUCGGGCUAAACUUGUAGUUGCAAACGACAACUAUGCGGAAGCUCGUCUCGCUGCCUAAUGGCGGUGUGACACUUCAAAUUAAGUCCUAGAGGGUCGCACUUCUAGGCGGGGUUCGGAGGUACCUGGCAACAGAAACCUCCACU
Molecule: transfer-messenger RNA, 374 nt
Filed under: Parahoeflea halophila
Lineage: Bacteria; Pseudomonadati; Pseudomonadota; Alphaproteobacteria; Hyphomicrobiales; Rhizobiaceae
Description: Hoeflea sp. JG120-1 Alphaproteobacteria transfer-messenger RNA
Rfam family: Alphaproteobacteria transfer-messenger RNA
About the family: Bacterial tmRNA, also known as 10Sa RNA or SsrA, is named for its dual tRNA and mRNA-like properties.
Source: Rfam by way of RNAcentral